RNAcentral lists this unclassified non-coding RNA (240 nucleotides) under Hevea brasiliensis (rubber tree). The record is from RNAcentral. Lineage: Eukaryota; Viridiplantae; Streptophyta; Magnoliopsida; Malpighiales; Euphorbiaceae.
GGAGAGUGCUACAUUUUCUCCCACGCAAGCUUCAUAUCUAUUCUGAGUUUCUGUAUGUUGCACCAUGAUUGCUUCCAAUUCCAUGACCUUAUCAGUGAGGAGACAGUUCGCCUUUGAAAGACUCGCGAGUUCAGCUUCCAAAGAUUGAUUCUGCAGAACAAGAUCGCUGCAUCGGAGGAUGCAACUAGCUUUCUCCUCAUGCAAAAUGUGAACAUCUUCCAAAGCAGCCUGCAAUCUUAU